RNAcentral lists this long non-coding RNA (252 nucleotides) under Gossypium raimondii (Peruvian cotton). Its description in RNAcentral is "long non-coding RNA (GRAI_LNC003529)". Lineage: Eukaryota; Viridiplantae; Streptophyta; Magnoliopsida; Malvales; Malvaceae. The record is from RNAcentral.
GCUUAGGUUAGGUUUGGGCUAAGGUUUGGGUCUGGUGUUGGGUUUCUCAGAUUUGGGUAUUGUAUUGGGUAUUAGAUUAAAAGGAUUUGGGCUAUGCUGGGCCCAUGUAUUUGGACUUUGGACUUUUAAAUGUUGAUUUGGUUUAUAUUUUUUUUGAUAUUUUUUGUUUAUUUAUUUCAGAUUUGGGCCAGGCAAAUUGGGCCUAUUACAGCUGCCCCUCUUAUCUCAUUGUCGUGUAACGGGAAUGAAGCA